UCCAAGACUGACUUCGAGCUCAUUUGUGAUCCAUGUGAUAGGAGGACCAGUAGAACACAAAGAUUUCAGGCACUUACUGGAAGCUGAAGCAGUUUGUGAAAGAAGCAUUUAAGAAAUAACUGACAUUCAAGCAGCCCUUUAAACUUGGCCAAGCCAUUAACAGACGUUACUUCAUUCGAGCCAACAAGCACGGGAGGUGGGUCGGGUGUGAGCUGGAGCAGCAAAUGGCAAACCGCUCCAGCGUCUUUGCCAAGAAAACCCCGAAUGCGGUCACAGAGAGUCGGGCACGACUGAAACACGACUGAACAACAGCUCUGGGAGGAAGCCGAGGGCUGGGAGGUUGAUGACAAUUUGAACAGCUGUAAAGAGGACCCUGCCUCCCAAAUACCCCAUGAGUUCACCAAUGCCUAAAAAUAUACAAUUAGAG
Molecule: non-coding RNA, 427 nt
Organism: Phascolarctos cinereus (koala)
Lineage: Eukaryota; Metazoa; Chordata; Mammalia; Diprotodontia; Phascolarctidae
Source: RefSeq, a predicted model, not a curated record